AGCUAGCCAGGCAGCGCUGAUGAGCCUCAGGCCCCGCCCCGGCCGGAACCUGACCCCGCCCACCGGACUCUGACUGAGCACAGGAACCCCUGACACGACGUUUUGCCGGAGGCUGGUACCCGGCAAGUGGCGCCCGAACAGGGACUUGAAAGAAUUCGGACAGCCCAAUUUGAAUUCCUGACAGACUGAUCCGACAUCAUGUCUCAAAAGCCUUCACCGACACGCCCCCCAUCA
Talpa occidentalis (Iberian mole) is the source of this 234-nucleotide long non-coding RNA. RefSeq lists it as uncharacterized. The transcript is spliced from 3 exons. Lineage: Eukaryota; Metazoa; Chordata; Mammalia; Eulipotyphla; Talpidae. The record is from RefSeq and is a predicted model, not a curated record.